RNAcentral lists this ribosomal RNA (194 nucleotides) under uncultured Symbiobacterium sp. Its description in RNAcentral is "partial 16S ribosomal RNA". It matches the Rfam family "Bacterial small subunit ribosomal RNA", at positions 338 to 524 of the family's 1533-position model. The record is from RNAcentral. Lineage: Bacteria; Bacillati; Bacillota; Clostridia; Eubacteriales; Symbiobacteriaceae.
CCUACGGGAGGCAGCAGUCGGGAACUUUGCACAAUGGCCGAAAGGCUGAUGCAGCAACGCCGCGUGAGUGAAGAAGGCCUUCGGGUUGUAAAGCUCUGUUGCCCGUGAAGAAACUCCGCAUCAGGAAAUGGGUGCGGACUGACGGUAGCGGGAGAGGAAGCCCCGGCAAACUACGUGCCAGCAGCCGCGGUAAU